RNAcentral lists this ribosomal RNA (252 nucleotides) under uncultured bacterium. RNAcentral describes it as "partial 16S ribosomal RNA". It matches the Rfam family "Bacterial small subunit ribosomal RNA", at positions 524 to 776 of the family's 1533-position model. The record is from RNAcentral.
UACGGAGGGUGCGAGCGUUGUCCGGAAUCACCGGGCGUAAAGGGCGCGUAGGCGGCGCGAUAGGCGGCGGUGAAAGCCCGGAGCUCAACUCCGGGUCGGCCGUCGAUACUUCCGGGCUUGAGCACUGUAGAGGCAGAUGGAAUUCCGGGUGUAGCGGUGGAAUGCGUAGAGAUCCGGAAGAACACCGGUGGCGAAGGCGGUCUGCUGGGCAGUUGCUGACGCUGAUGCGCGACAGCGUGGGGAGCAAACAGG